Papaver somniferum (opium poppy) is the source of this 525-nucleotide long non-coding RNA. RefSeq lists it as uncharacterized. Lineage: Eukaryota; Viridiplantae; Streptophyta; Magnoliopsida; Ranunculales; Papaveraceae. The transcript is spliced from 3 exons. The record is from RefSeq and is a predicted model, not a curated record.
UAGUAUCUUCUUUUCUUCUCUAUAUACUUCUUCAUUCCAUUCUUUCUGUUUACACUAGAAGAAGAACAAGUCAACAAAUGGGUUUUGGAAUGAGAAAGGGUUUUGUAUGGGAAUGUGGUGGUGGAGACUCAAAAAUCUAAAUCAAGCAUUAUGGUAUCUCCUCUCAAAACAAUAAAUUUCGACUUAGAUGAACCUGAAACCUGGAAGGCAUUUGAUGUUACACAGAAAACUCACCAGUGCAUAUAAAUUCUGCACAUCACCUGUCAUAGUGUUGCCCUUUUAGGUUUUUUCAAUUGUGGUUGAUGUUAAUUGUUUUAAGCUUAAGUGUGCCUUGAAGAUUAAAGGUGGUCUAUCUGUUAGAAGGUUUGGGUAUGAAUACUACUCCUAACAGAUAGAGUAUUUGAUUAGGCGAAUUCUACCAUGAGCUGGUUAGAGUUAUUCGUUAAGAGACUUGAGUAGUUAUGGGUGAUCUUUUUAUGGUGAAGAAUUGGGAACCAGGAUAUGAUAUGUCCCGUUUCCUAUUAA